UGCCUAGCAACUCCUAUCCCUACCUCCUCGUGGUACCGUGCGUGGUACCGACCGGAAACCACGAGCAACCUUAGGGAAGAUCGGGUAACCAACCCUGGUGGGAACUUUGGUCGUAGGCUGACAGGAAAGG
Non-coding RNA from Aedes albopictus (Asian tiger mosquito), 130 nucleotides. The record is from Rfam. NCBI's taxonomy places the organism in Eukaryota, Metazoa, Arthropoda, Insecta, Diptera, Culicidae.